UACGUAGGGGGCGAGCGUUGUCCGGAAUGACUGGGCGGAAAGGGCGUGUAGGCGGCGCUGUAAGUCUGGAGUGAAAGUCCUGUUUUUAAGGUGGGAAUUGCUUUGGAUACUGCAGAGCUUGAGUGCGGAAGAGAUAAGUGGAAUUCCCAGUGUAGCGGUGAAAUGCGUAGAGAUUGGGAGGAACACCAGUGGCGAAGGCGACUUACUGGGCCGUAACUGACGCUGAGGCGCGAAAGCGUGGGGAGCGAAC
RNAcentral lists this ribosomal RNA (250 nucleotides) under uncultured prokaryote. RNAcentral's name for it is "partial 16S ribosomal RNA". It matches the Rfam family "Bacterial small subunit ribosomal RNA", at positions 524 to 773 of the family's 1533-position model. The record is from RNAcentral.